RNAcentral lists this transfer RNA (76 nucleotides) under Magnetococcales bacterium. RNAcentral describes it as "tRNA-Glu". It matches the Rfam family "tRNA". Rfam says of the family: Transfer RNA (tRNA) molecules are approximately 80 nucleotides in length. The record is from RNAcentral. Lineage: Bacteria; Pseudomonadati; Pseudomonadota; Magnetococcia; Magnetococcales.
GUCCCCAUCGUCUAGCGGCCUAGGACGCCGGCCUCUCACGCCGGCAACAGGGGUUCGACUCCCCUUGGGGACGCCA